Molecule: long non-coding RNA, 12289 nt
Organism: Ahaetulla prasina
Lineage: Eukaryota; Metazoa; Chordata; Lepidosauria; Squamata; Colubridae
Exons: 4
Source: RefSeq, a predicted model, not a curated record
UACAGAAGAAAGGUGGGGGGGAAGAGAUGCUUUGUCGGGAACAAUCAGAUAAAAGGGGGAGGGAGAAACCAGAAGCAUCUUGGCGAGAUGGUCUGGAAAAAAAGCAGGCUCUGAUGAGCUCUGCAAAAAUCCAGCAGGACAAACCACUGUCAGGGGGUCUUCAGACUGGAACCAUCCUGUAGGGAUGUUGAAGAAGGAGAGGUGCCUCAGACAACCAAGAAGAACAGGCAAGUUCCUCAAAAGUCAGAGGCGGCUCUUCAAACUGGUGGCAGUGGUGGCAGCCAUUAAAAAAUGACCUCUGUGAAGCUUGGGCAACCAGACUAAGUUUUUUGUGCAUGAGCGGUGUCUGAACGGAGUGCUGGUACAACGUGAGUGAUUGGCCAACUCACAGAUAAAAAAGAAUUUUUAAAAUAACUUUAAAAGGUGUCCUGGAGUGGAAAUGAGCGGCUAAUUGGCACUUGGGAAAGUUAAUGAGGGAGAAGAACAAAGAGGAGGUUAAAAUACCAAAGCCCAAGAAAGAAAAUUUCACAACUGGAUUUAAAAUUGGAUUUGGAGAAAUUAAAAAUAAUAAAAGAAAAAGAAACCCGAGGAAAAGUACUUUUUAUGUGGAUUAAAAAUAUUUUUGAUAGUUUUGACAUUUGAAGGAGAAAAACAAAGAAGAAGUUAAAAUACCAAUGCCCGAGAAAGAAAAUUUUAUAACUGGAUUUAAAAUUGAAUUUGGAGAAACAAAAUAUAAUAAAAGAAAAAGAAACCCAAGGAAAAGUACUUUUUAUGUGGAUUCAAAAUAUUUUUGACAGCUUUGAUUCUUAGUUGUUCUGAGAAUAUUGUGGAUUUUGAGGGAGUCAUUUGCUGGCAGAAAGAGAGAACUGCAAUCUUGGUUGGAAAAUAGAAGAGAAAAUAACAGCUGUGACCUUGACUAAUAAAAGAUAAUUCAGAAGCUGUGAGAACUUUUAAGGAGUAUUUGUUUUUCUGAACUGUUUGGUUUCGACUUUCAAUGAUUGUGGAAGAUAAUAAAGCUUUAACUUGAAGUGAAUUGAAUAAAUAAAUAAAAAACUAUAUGGACUUUAAAAUUUUAAUUAAAUAUAAAUCAAAAGUUUUAACAAUUUGUUAAAAUUGACAAUAUGGAGUCUUGGAUGUGUGAGGCAUUGAGAUGUUUAAAAACAUGUGUGAAUCACUAAAGGGUAAUAAAAAAGUCAGAAAUUUUGCUGGAACAUAUAGAACAGGAAAAAGAGACCAUAAAUGAGGAGCAAGACAAUAAUAUUGAAAGAAAAGGAAUUGAGUGCAAAAAGCAGUUAGAUGAUUUCACUGGGAUUAACAGUGGUAAAAAAGAUUGGAUUGGGAGGGGGAAUAUCCCCACAAAAAGAAUCAAUCAAAGGGAAAAGAAGGAAAGAGUGGAAAGAGGUUAGGAGAAAGCCUGGGGAGAAUUACUCAAGUAAUAUAUCUAAAAGUGAGAAAAAGGAUUCAGGAGAAAAGAUACAAUAAAUACAAAAAGAAAAAGAAGAAGUUAAAAGAAUGGGAUAAAAGGAGGAAAUUAUUAAGAAGUGGAAUUUUGAAGAGACCAAGAGAAAAUGGUUAAAGAGGGGAAGAAUAGUGAAAAGGAGGAAGUGCUUGCAGGAUGUGCAAAACUGGACUCCUUGGAUGGCAACUAUUUGAAGCAACUUCUUGUCAAGGAGCAGUUGGUGACAACCCAAAUGAUUUAAAGUAGCCCUUCUCAGCCUGAACAACCUCUGGAAUAUCCCAGACAAUUCUGGGCAGCUUCAGAGAGUAAAAGAAUAUGAUAGAAAACAAUACCAAAUAAAGCAUGGAACAUACCCAGCAUAUUGAGGGAAAUCAUAAAAAGACAACAUAGCUUCAUGGUAUCCAUUCCAUCUCUCUAAGGCUUUGGUCACAAGGAAGAAGGCAGGCACAGUGAGAGCUGUAUGAAUAACUGGGGGAUUUUCUGCUUCAGUGGGCAGUUGCUGCAACAGAACAGGUGACACUACUAAAUUAAUGUGACAUGGAACAGGCCAACACUAUUACAGUCAACAGAAUGGGCACACUAGGGAUAGAAAGUUCCUCAAGAAACCAAGUCUUAUAUCAUGAAUGGUUUUACAGUGAUAAAGAUGGAACACCCAGAUCAAUAGAUGGUCUAAUAAAGAUCUCAUGUAGAUAUUAAAUAGGAGGGAUGAGAGCCUCAGGUCUUGAGGCAUCCCACAAACAUUUUAGGCUUGAUGUCUCAUCUCCAGUGAUCCUGAUUGGAACCAGCUGUAGAGAAAGGAGGAUGCCUCUUAGAGAGGCAGACACCACCAUAAUGGAUGCAAUGACCUGUCACCUCCUGAGCAUCCUUCACCAGCCAGUAGAAGCAAGGAUCUAAUAAAUAGAAAGUUGGGUUGACAGUUCCAAGGAUCCUGUCCACUUCCUCAGGAAUCACAGAAUCACAUUCUUUUGAAAUAAACAGGACAGACAGAAUAACAAAAUAUCAGAUUUGGAAGGCACCUUGGAGUCUUUCAAUCUAACCUCCCAAACAAGCAGGAGAUCCUAUACCAUUCUGAACAAAUGGCUGUCUCUUCUUAAAAACCUUUCUAAUCCCAUUGCCAUGUUGGCUGGGGAAUUCUGGGAUUGAUUGGUUCCUUUGACCAUCUCUGGAUAAAGAGAGAAUGCAAGAUCGUCCAAGCUGUACUCCAUGUGGCUUAUUCACACCAGAAGAUUGCAAAGUGCAGAUAAUUGGAAGGUGGGAAGGAAAUUUGCCAUACUUUCUCCAGUACAGAACCUUUCAAGAAUACUUAAUUUGCACUUCCUGUGCUAAUCACUUUCAGAAGUUGCCUAGUCAUUACUUUAAAGUGUAAAGUCAUUACUGUCAUCUUCAAAAUGACAGGGCUGGAAACACUGGGUAUCAUACCAAGAGUGCGGAACCAAAGGCUGCAAAGAAUUUGGAAUUCACUCCAUGGCUGAUAAUCAGUGAUACCCCAACAGUUUUUAAGCUGUCAGUUAGGCAUUGCUACACUACCCUGACAUUAUGAUCUGAUGCUGAAUAUAUGUCUUUUGUAAAUUGGUAACCUGAACAUAGAAGAACACGAAGUCUCUAAAUGGACUGACCUCAGCUCUUUAAAUAGCUUUGGACUGCAAUGCUAGACCUACUAACUGCGGAGGAUGUCUCAAUGAAAUAAAGAGUGUGGACGUCUUAAGUCUGAGUUAACAUUAUAGGCAGUGCUAUUAAUUACGGACAUCAGACUCGCCAUCUCUUUACAAAUCUGUUGAAGUAUUUCUCUCCUUUACAAAUUGAUGGCAAAAGUAAUUCAGGAUGUUACUAAUGGCAAUUAGGUUCUACCCAGGAAACUAGAGAAGACAUGCUUUGGGACAAAUACCUGUGUUUAACUCAUGUAAUUCUGCUUCUCUAGACUACAUAAACAGAUCCUGUGUCCUGAUUUGACUCAUCAUGCUCUCCUAUUUUGUUGCAUGCUAAUCUUAGUUGUGUUAUAGAGGUAUUUCUGCAAAUAUCAACCUCAGUUAGUCAGAAAAAAGAAGUAUUUGCACUGAAUACCCAGGGAUCAAUUCAUGCAGCAAUAAGGAACCUACAUUUGCUACUAAGAAUGUUUUUAAUAGGGAUAAUAUGGGAUACAAUUUUUUCUGUCUGUUUGUUUCAUACAUAACUUCAGAUAUACUUGUAGUUUUGGAAGGUGCAUUAGCUGCAUGUCUUCCUUGAAUGCCAGGCGUGAGAUUGUGCUCCAGAAAAAUAAAUGAACUGGAGGUAAACUAAAUCUGACUUCAUUUAAUUUUAGUGGACCUAUCCUGAAGGCAGCAUCUAACAGCUCUUGAUCGUAAGAAGUAAGCAGGGUCAGAUGAGGUCCUUGGAAAUCCCAGGACUGUCCACUGGGAAGUCAAACAAUCACUUUCAUUUUUUUUGCCAAGAAAAUUGCUUACAUGGGCCCAUACUAUUGCCAGGAUUUGUGCUUGAAUUGAAAUUGAAUUUAUUAACAUUUGAAAUGAUUUAUCUAUAUAUAUAAAAGUGAAAACCACUCAUGCAUUAAUCAUGAAAUCUCCAGAACUGUAAAGCCUACAAACUUGAAAUUUGCCACGUAUGUUCCUCUUGGCUUCUAGGUGCUCACUAAGAAAUGAUUUUUCGAAAUGACCAUCAGAGCAUUAGUAUUUCCUAUAUUAUUAUAACACGCUCUGAUACUAAUUAGUUAGACAUUCUACUCCACUUCCCAAUUUGAAAAUAACUCUGGAGAGAAUGGGAUAGCAUAGGACUGUGGGGCAAGCUUCAUGGAGAGAAGGGGCUAGAAAGCCUGAGAGAGAGAAGGGGAUAGGAUAGGAGAAGUUUCUGUGGGGCAAGGCUGAGGGAGAGGAGAGGCCGAUCGUAACUACUCAUUAAUUUUCAAACUCUAAGUGUCAAUUUAUCAAGCCCGAUCACAGUUUCGUAGUGGAACAUGGGUAUUCAGCUAGUUCUGUAUAUAGGCUGCUUUCUGUUAAAUUACACUUUGAUGGUGAUUUUGGAAGAUAGUUUAGCAACUACAUCCAACCCUACUUCCCUCCCUAGGAUCUAUGUGGCCCCGGGAAUUAGGAAUUUUUAUUUUAUUUUAUUUAAGUAUACAUUUAAAAACACACAGGUGCCUAUAUGAUCUCACUGGGAAUUUUGAGCAAAUACACAGAAGAACAUUAGAAAACAAAAAAUACUCUUGGAAUUAGUUUUACCACUAUAAAUGAAAAGGAGUAUUCCAUGACAUCAUAUCCAAUGCUAAACCAUAAUCUAUCCCACUCUGGCUAAAUCUCUACUCAAUUUCCCCCAUUGGUUGGAAUGUAUGAAAGUCAUUUCUAAUUGAAUGAAUCAGUCCUUGGUUCUUAUUCUUAUUAUCUCAUCGUCUAGUUCUGCCUUCAUUUGCCACUCACUUUGCAAGCUCCAUUUCCUUGGGAAUUCAUCUAGCAUGACAUGGAUGAAUGAUUUCUAAGAAUUGUUUAUACAGUUGUCAUGUGGAAUCUGUUCUAGAUGUCGUCAGUGUUUUGCUCUCUAGGAAGAAUUAAAUAAAUAAAUGUGGGAAGAAGACCAACACAAUAAGAGACAGGUUUUUUUCCUUCCAAGUGCACAUGAUUUAGUGGUCCAAAGUUCACCGCUUAUAUAAACCUACAAACCGCCAUACCCUUUGUGCUCCCAAAGUUCUGAUGUUUGGAGGACCAGAUGUGGGAGAUUCUACAUAUCUCCAAUAUCUUUCCUCUCUUUUCAGAAGAUUGAAUAUUUUCCUUAAAUUCAAUCCCCCCCACUGAUGUAAUCUUGCUUUGCAAUGCAAGAAAGGAUAUAGGGCCUCCACACGUAUAGGUUGUUGAUAGACAUCUGUAAGAUGUGGGCAGAUAGAAUCCUGGCAAUGUAAUUUUGAUGGCUAAAAGCACAGCUGGAGUAUCUAUUGGCUUUCUUCUCUGUUAAUGAGCUUCAAUUAUUAACAUCCCUCAACACUGGCUAUGCUAACUGGAGCUGUUGCAGGGCCAGAAAUUUACCAUCUUUAACCUACACCUGCUUUCCAAUCUGCCACUCACCUUGAAUAUGAUGAGGUCAUUUGCCUGUUUUGUCCUGCAGAUUUAUGCUAAUGGAAAGUUCUUCUGUACCAUGUGUUUGGUGCAUUUAACUCCUUGAAGGUCCUUGAAGAAGGACCAUUAAUAACAGGACCCAGUUUAGCAAAGGAAAAAAGUCCCAAUAUGUCAUGUGAUGCUGCCAUGAUGAUGCGAGUUUGACACCCCUGGUCUAAGGUAUUGGUUUCCCCCAAUGAUACCACGGGCAACUGAUUUAACUGCCAACUGAUUUUCAUACCAACAUGAACAAUGAGCUAAUAUCCUCACUAUACCUGAAACCAGUUUAAAAUUGUGCAGGAUCAAAGACUAGUAGUCUUUCCCAGGAGAGGGGACUAGCUAUGGAGAUUCUGGAAAAAUAGUAGAUAGGGGGUUGUCAGUAUUGUUCCACAUGUUAUAUGGCAGGGGUGUCAAACUCAAUUUCAUUGAGGGCCGCAUCAGGGUUGUGUUUGACCUUGGGGGGCUGGGGUGGGCAUGGCGGGGGUGGGCGUGACCACUUCACCAUCACUCAUGUUGGGAGCACCUAUGGUGGUCUGAGCACUCUGCCAGCGAAAAUGGACUCCUGAGCUCUGUUUUCAGCUGCGAUGGCCUCCUGAAACCCUCUGCCAGUGAAAACAGAGCUUGGGAGGGGUGCCCGCUCCAUUUUCGCUGGCAGAGGCACCAUGGGCUAGUCCUUCACUGUUUCCAGGAUGGCCCUGCAAGCCAGAUGUAAGCACCCCAUGGGCCUUGAGUUUGACACCCCUGUUAUAAGGUAAUCUCUCAGCCUAAUGGAGAGGCAGCUGUGCACUGUGAAUUUAGUUAGAAUCAGAAACAAAGCACAUACUUUAUGGUUCACCAAACAAGUAACUUCAACCAAUUGUUUUCAUGUUUAUCUACUAGGCUUAUUUGUCUUAAAAUAUAAAUGCACAUUUUAGAGACAAAUUUUAGACACAAAAUGAGCAACUGCUAAUGGUACAACCUUUAUUAUCGUGUAAGAUAGCAAUAACUGUGUAAGAUAGACUUUAAGGGGUGCUUGAGACUGUAGGUAAAAUACAUCAAAGCUGCAUAGAAAUCUGCACAAUAUUACUUUGCUACCUGCACAAAUUCAUUAUCCUUGUAUCUGAAAAAUGAACGAAUUUCAGAGUACAGAAUUGAUAAUACAUCUUUUUUUAUCUGUUUUGUAUCAAAACAGAUUGGUCACCCUCAUUUUUGAAGACUUUUUUGUUUUUGCAAAUGCUAAUGGUAUGAAGAGAAAGACCAUCUCAAAAAAAUAUCCAUUUCCAUCAGGCAAGAUAAAUCAGAUUGACAAAUGAUAGUAACAUUUCCAAGAAUUACAAAGAAAUGCUGUUAAGGGUUCAAAUCCAAAUGUGCCACAUGCAUUCAUUCAAAUAUGCAGGGAGCUUUGUAUAAACAUCCAUCAAUUGCACUAAAACAGGGCUAAACAUUAUUUUAUCAUAAACUUUCAGGAACAUAGCCUAUUUUUUCUGUUUUAAUGAAAUCUCCGCUCCGAUACAAAAAUGCCCAUAAAGAGAAAAUAUGUGCCAGAGGCUUUAUAUGGAGGAUUUCCCUCCUUUCCACAAUCCGUUGACUCUCCUCAGAGAAGCUUCAGUCAAUGCUUCUCAGGAGGAGGAAUGAUCAGGAAUAUACUGGAAAGUCCCAGCAGAAAAAAUUCGAACUGCUAUAUUAUAAUGGGCCUCUGUGGCUCAGACUGGUAAGACAGUCUGUUAUUAACAGCAGCUGCUUGCAAUUACUGCAGGUUCAAGCCCCACCAGGCCCAAGGUUGACUCAGCCUUCCAUCCUUUAUAAGGUAGGUAAAAUGAGGACCCAGAUUGUUGGGGGCAAUAAGUUGACUUUGUAUAUAAUAUACAAAUGGAUGAAGACUAUUGCUUGACAUAGUGUAAGCCGCCCUGAGUCUUCGGAGAAGGGCGGGAUAUAAAUGCAAAAAAAAAUAAAAUUAAUCUAGGUCAGUGACGGCUAACCUUUUUGGCACUGAGUGCCGAAACUGGAGCACGUGUGCGCGCAUGUGCCAGAACCCAGAAGAGAGCAGCUGGCUGGUGCACAUGCGUGCAGCGCCAGCUGCUCUUCCGGGUUCCAUUAUGUGCAUUCAUGCGAAGAGCAGCUGGCCAGCAUGCUUGCGCACGCCAGAACCCGGAAGAGCAGCUGGGGACAGUGCGCAUACCCACAGAGAGGGAUCUGCAUGCCACCUCUGGCACUUGUGCCAUAGGUUUGCCAUCAUGAAUCUAGGUGGCCUGCUAGAUUAAUCUAAGUUUGAAGCAAACAGUUAAAAGUAGAAUGUGUGCUUCUCACUGUCUGCUCCAAGUAUCAGCUUCACUAAUUCAAGAAGGCAGUUCUGGAAGAGUCAAAACAUGAAAAUGUGUUAAUAACCCAAGCUUGGUGAUAUCUUAAGCUGAUAAAAGAGGGUGAGGGUUUGAGGUUUUUUUGCAAUGUACAAACCUUCUUAUCAAUCCUAACAGCACUGGGAUGUGUGCAGAUCAUGUCUUUCAAACUACCUCUUUAGGAAGAUUUACUAUCAUGGAAUAUUUUUAGCUGGACUGCCUAUCCAAAUGAAUAAACUGGGUUGAACAAAGAAGCUGUUAGAAAAAGGGAUAGAGAUUUAUUUGUUGGCACUGAUUUCAGCCACAUUGUUGUUGUUUUUUUUAUCUAUACUGCACAGGUAAUUUGAGUAGCUGUCUCUGGUUUCAUCCAGUGAGCUUUGACAAUUGUUUGUUUUGUGCCUGAAGUUUAAUUGUCAUCAACCUUGAAACAGGAAAGCAGAAGAGGCUCUCAGCACCGCUCCAAAGACACCUUAGUGUUAUAAGGUACAAGGGGCACUUUCAUGUUACUUAAUCGUAUGCUGACCCAAAGCAAAUCUUGUUAGUGCUGAUACAAAUACGGGCCAGAAGGACAGUGGCUAGAGCAAUGGGAUUUUAGAAUUUGCAUUGCUUUAAUACUGUAUUUGUUUACUAACAGAGUAGGUAUGCAUUAGGCCUUUAUCAUUCCUAUGUUAAUGAGCAGGCAGGAAUAAAAUCCUUGCAAACCUGUUUACUAAACCCAUUGCUAAUUAAAAAGAAUCAAUUCCCUGCAGCAAACCAUUUUGUUCCUCCAUACAAUAAAUAAGAAAGAGGAGGUAUCAUUUGUUGUGAGGCAGGGAAUGGUGAGGCGGUUAUAAAUUUUAUAUUUUGGACAAUGGGGGCUGUAAAAGCUAUAAGGAUUUCUAGAACGAUGGGCUUAAGAUAAGGAAGCCAUUCUGUUGCUUUCACAAAUCAAAGAUAAUACACAAUCAACUUCAAAAUGUCCACCUUUUAACUAAAAGCUAAAACUUCUGCAGGUAGAAUCUACUUAUGCACACACAUAGAUCACAGAUCGUAUCCAACAGCUAGCAAUGGAUGUUUCUAAAUGAAGUUUUUGCUACACCCAUUGCCUUGCUCUAGUCACAAAGUUUUAGAAAGAAUCAAGAUUUCAUCCUUUUCACCACCUGAAAUCUUCUGUGCUUUCCUUUUCUGUUCCUUUUUUUCCACAAAGCAAUCAGUCAACGAGAUAAAGGAAGGGCUUCUGCACUGCAUUACUUGUUGUGCAAUAUGACAAAAGCACACACUUUUUUGACCCAACGAAAGACGUCUUUGUUGAAGAAAGGAUUGCAUUUUACAAAACGCUGGAGAUAUUGGAUAUUUUUCAGACAGGUCAGCUCUGGAAAAUGGUACCGAGAUGCCCCACCAUGCAAUAAAUGUUAAUGCAUUGAAAUGCAUACUGCUUGCCUGAAAAGAUAAUUAGUGAAUAAUCUACUGAUCAUGUUAAAGAAGACGUCACAUGUUCCCCAUCCUUAAUUGGUGUUUUACUGGAAAAUAUUUAGAAAUGGUAGAAAUUUUCUCUGAAGAGAAAAAUACUUUUAAGUUACUGUCCAUAAUAAGAGGCAGUAGCCAAGUUCUGAUUCCUAAAUCCCAUUAAGCUAAGCUUCCUGAUUUAUCUGUUAAUUAAAUCAAACAUAUGAAAUGAAUUUUGAUGUAAUAUCCAGUGGUGUAAACAAUUUGAAUGCUUGUUGAAUGGGCUAUGGUAAGCAGGGUUUUGGUGAUAUUCCACUUUCUAUUUCUUUUUAUUUUAUUAUAUUUUGGGGCUGCUAUUUCCCAGUUGAGUUGGCACUGCUCCCAACCCAAACAUACUAGAAACGUAGCCCAACAUCAGCUGUCAUACCUAUGGGAAACAACAUUCAGGAUGGAAUGAUUUUAAUGAAAAUAGAAAAUAAGGACAAUUUUUGUUUUAGAAGCCUAAUUAGUAAUUUUUUUUCUUUUUGACUGCAAAAAGCCAUGAUGACAUUAUCAGUGCAGAUUAAGUUAAAUCCUGAAUCUUGCUAGUGUGCAUGCAUAUCAGAUUUAAGGAAGAAAAUAAUCUUUAUAAACUGUGAACUAUUCAAGACAGCAGCUUUUACUAAGAGGUGCUAUGAAACUUACAGGCUUAUUCAUGUAUCCAGCUGAUGUUAAUUAUAACUUUGCAAUAGAACAGGCUUCCAUACUGAAAAUACAUCAGCUUCUAUGCGAAGCAUUUGAAAAAGGCAAAGGAACUCUAUACAUGCAUUUCUGAUGAAGACACUCUGGAAAAAGAAACGAAGCACUGCACACGAUAGGUAACACCUUUGAAUCACAAACCUUUUCAAGGGCAAAAAUAACAGUGCUCUCUGGUAUUAAUAUUCCUAUACCCAUUUUUUUAAAAUACAAUUUUCAGACGGGAAUCAUCCCAGUUAUCCCAGUAUGUCUAAUUGUAUUUCUGGCUCUUGUAGCCUUUAAUAAAUGGAAAGCAAUAGCUCCAUUUUUAAACGGGUUGUAUCUAUUAUAAUUUUCCAAUUAAUCCCAUUGUGGUUUUUGGACCUGCUCCGUUUUAUGUGGUUGAUAAAAUGACAUCAAAAUAAAUGCUCCGUGGUAAAGCAAUUAUCUUUUGUGAAACUGAAUAGUGCAGAGGUAGUGGAUAAUCAGAGGUACUAUCAUGUGUAAUCUGUAUGCCAGGGCUCUUUGCAGUGAUUUUGCAUCAACAUAAAAAUUGUGCAGUACUACUAUCAAAUGGUCUUUACUAAUAUUCAAAAUUGGUUAUAGAAACCUUAAAAAGAUCUUAACAGACUUUAAAUAUAAUUGGAACAACACACUUUAUUCCAGUCAAUGGAAUAACUACUUGAAGCAAGAACUUUUCCUGAUUUCAUAGAUUUAAUGGCAUAUAUUAUUUGUUAGAAAGAGGCAGUUUGAUCAUGAGUGAUCUUAGAAAAGCUUUUAUCUAAAAUGAAUGGAUUUUGUUCCAUAUAACAUUUGAAUCAGUAAUAUAUAUCCGAGUAUAAAAAUAUAAAAAUAAUGGAUUUAUUGAGUCAGAAUCAUUAUUUUACCCUUUACUAAUAUUAUGGUAUUCACUUGUUUCAGAAGAGUCUAGUAAUUUACCAAGUCUCUCACUUCACUCUUAAUAUCCUUGCUUUUUAUGAUUCAGUGAAUAUAGUACUUCUUAUAUGAACUAUUACUGAUAGUUCAUAUAAGUUUUACAUAAUUCUGGCAUUAGCUAUCUUGCAUAUGGAAGUUUCCUUCCUGUGUUUUCCUUUUGACCUUUCUUUUUCCAUGAAGCAUAAAUACUAAUAUGACGUGAUGUGCCUUAAAAUAUCCUAAACAACCAGUUGAUUGGCAGAACGUCAAUGUAGUUGUCAAACACUGGUUACAAAAGGUGGAUCCUUUCAUAAUGAGAUAUUUUAAAAGAAAAUUUAGAAGAAGGAUUCUUUCCCAUAUUGAUACAAGCACAAUAGCAAAAUCUGAUUCUAUAUAGCUAUCAUCAUCAUCAUCGUGGAUAGCCAUUAUCUAUCCACUUCAGGAUGAAAGCUUCUUCCGCAUGUUUCCAACCAAUAUGGUCCUGAGCUUUCUUUUGCCAAUUGGGCCUGCAAUACUUGCUGAUGUCAUCAAUUCAUCUUGUUUUAGGUCUCUUUCGUGGAUGCUUUUUGCCAAGCGGGAUCCAUGCUAUGACUGCCUUGGUCCACCUGCCAUCAGUUCUUCUUGCUAUGUGACCAGCCCAUUUCCACUGCAAUUCUUUUACUCUCUUGAUAUUGUAUACUUUCGUUUAUUCUCUAAUCCAUCUGUGUGUCUUUAUAUCUUUUCUUGUAAUGACGAACACGUAUUUUUCCAUGGCUCUUUGUGUCACUCGUAGCUUUUGUAUCGAUUGUGAGUUAGUGCCCAUGUUUCACGGCAUAUGUUAGAGCAGGUAGCACACACUGAUUGAAAACUUUUCUCUUCACGCAUAGGGACAUUGCUCUUGAAAAUUAUGCUUAGCCUGCUGAAUGCCUGCCAAGCAUAAUUUUCAAGAACAACCUCCCUCUAUGCCUGAAGAGAAAUGUAUUCGAUCAAUGUGUGCUACCUGCUCUAAUAUAGCUAUAUUACAUUUAAAAAUCCAGUUGAGAACAACUCCAAAAUGACAAAAAACCCUGUUAUAAAUUAUUUAAAAGUUACCAUAUGUCUACCAAAUUAAACUUCAAUAUAUAAACUUGCAAUAUUUUCCAUGUGCAACAAUUAGAUUUAGACAGGCUAAGUUUUAUUAAAAUCCCCAGCUACAGUAAUCUGAUCCACAGCCAGAUAAAAGCUUUUGAAAACAUCUAUGUUAAUAUGUCUGGAAAAUUCUUACAGAACCACAAUUAGUAAAUUUAAUGUAACAAAGAAUUAAUAAAUGCAGUAUGUAAUAAAAUAUUGAUAACAGCCUAAACAUCUGGUUGACUGAGCAGUGAAUCAUCAUCAUAAUAAUCCCCCAACAAGGCACUAAACCUUGA